Molecule: non-coding RNA, 628 nt
Organism: Myodes glareolus (Bank vole)
Lineage: Eukaryota; Metazoa; Chordata; Mammalia; Rodentia; Cricetidae
Source: RefSeq, a predicted model, not a curated record
UAUAAAGUCGGUGGUUAGAACUAAACAGGUGCAGGCUUCAGGAAACACAAGCCAGUCCCCACACCAACAGAAAUGCGGUUGAUAAGGGGCUCCCCGGCCCCUUUCCAAGGUUACUCAGCUCAACUCCCAAUCUGCCCGGGUCGUGACCCCUGCAGCACCCUUCUCUCUCCCUCACUCUCUGCCUCCGUUCCCCUUCCCCCAUCUCCUUGUCGACAGCCAGCCAGCCCAGUCUGCGUGCUGUACAAAGGAAACCCCCGGGGACCAGAAGAAGGUCAAGAUCGUGCUGAGGAAGGACCACCCUCGCUCUACUCUCAGCCCCCACACUCCUGCCCCUCCUUCUGUGAAGACGAGCCCACGUGGCAUCUUGGGGGAAAUCGUGGGGAGUGCAGUUUGCAGGAAGCCAGUAGGAACAGAAAAUGAAAUGAAGGCGCUGGAAAUUCUGCUAUCGGUGGAGUUCUCGGUUGCAGGAUCCUGACCGUGUACACGGAACUAAGCAAUUUCUAGAGUACCUUUCAGUUUUGCUUAUUAUGUAUUCUGGUUUGUUUUAUGGUUUGGGCAAGGGGGAUUUUCCCCAAAUGCUUCGUAGAGAAUAAGAUUAAAACACACUCUAAUAAAAGAAUGAAGUGAA